RNAcentral lists this ribosomal RNA (264 nucleotides) under uncultured Enterococcaceae bacterium. RNAcentral's name for it is "partial 16S ribosomal RNA". It matches the Rfam family "Bacterial small subunit ribosomal RNA", at positions 539 to 802 of the family's 1533-position model. The record is from RNAcentral. Lineage: Bacteria; Bacillati; Bacillota; Bacilli; Lactobacillales; Enterococcaceae.
CGUUGUCCGGAUUUAUUGGGCGUAAAGCGAGCGCAGGCGGUUUCUUAAGUCUGAUGUGAAAGCCCCCGGCUCAACCGGGGAGGGUCAUUGGAAACUGGGAGACUUGAGUGCAGAAGAGGAGAGUGGAAUUCCAUGUGUAGCGGUGAAAUGCGUAGAUAUAUGGAGGAACACCAGUGGCGAAGGCGACUCUCUGGUCUGUAACUGACGCUGAGGCUCGAAAGCGUGGGGAGCAAACAGGAUUAGAUACCCUGGUAGUCAAGGGCG